Molecule: transfer RNA, 83 nt
Filed under: Bacteroidota bacterium
Lineage: Bacteria; Pseudomonadati; Bacteroidota
Description: Bacteroidetes bacterium (marine metagenome) tRNA-Ser
Rfam family: tRNA
About the family: Transfer RNA (tRNA) molecules are approximately 80 nucleotides in length. Their secondary structure includes four short double-helical elements and three loops (D, anti-codon, and T loops).
Source: RNAcentral
GGAGGAUUAGCCUAACCGGUAAGGCAGCGGUCUUGAAAACCGCCGGGUUAACGCCCUUGGGGGUUCGAGUCCCUCAUCCUCCG